RNAcentral lists this ribosomal RNA (579 nucleotides) under uncultured bacterium. RNAcentral describes it as "bacterial SSU rRNA". It matches the Rfam family "Bacterial small subunit ribosomal RNA", at positions 102 to 677 of the family's 1533-position model. The record is from RNAcentral.
ACGGGUGAGUAAUGUCUGGGAAACUGCCUGAUGGAGGGGGAUAACUACUGGAAACGGUAGCUAAUACCGCAUAACCUCGCAAGAGCAAAGAGGGGGACCUUCGGGCCUCUCGCCAUCAGAUGUGCCCAGAUGGGAUUAGCUAGUAGGUGAGGUAAUGGCUCACCUAGGCGACGAUCCCUAGCUGGUCUGAGAGGAUGACCAGCCACACUGGAACUGAGACACGGUCCAGACUCCUACGGGAGGCAGCAGUGGGGAAUAUUGCACAAUGGGCGCAAGCCUGAUGCAGCCAUGCCGCGUGUGUGAAGAAGGCCUUCGGGUUGUAAAGCACUUUCAGCGAGGAGGAAGGCAGUCGUGUUAAUAGCACGGCUGAUUGACGUUACUCGCAGAAGAAGCACCGGCUAACUCCGUGCCAGCAGCCGCGGUAAUACGGAGGGUGCAAGCGUUAAUCGGAAUGACUGGGCGUAAAGCGCACGCAGGCGGUCUGUUAAGUUGGAUGUGAAAUCCCCGGGCUUAACCUGGGAACUGCAUUCAAAACUGACAGGCUAGAGUCUUGUAGAGGGGGGUAGAAUUCCAGGUGUA